AGACCCGAAACCCGGUGAUCUAGCCAUGGGCAGGUUGAAGGUUGGGUAACACUAACUGGAGGACCGAACCGACUAAUGUUGAAAAAUUAGCGGAUGACCUGUGGCUGGGGGUGAAAGGCCAAUCAAACCGGGAGAUAGCUGGUUCUCCCCGAAAGCUAUUUAGGUAGCGCCUCGUGAAUUCAUCUCCGGGGGUAGAGCACUGUUUCGGCUAGGGGGCCAUCCCGGCUUACCAACCCGAUGCAAACUGCGAAUACCGGAGAAUGUUAUCACGGGAGACACACGGCGGGUGCUAACGUCCGUCGUGAAGAGGGAAACAACCCAGACCGCCAGCUAAGGUCCCAAAGUCAUGGUUAAGUGGGAAACGAUGUGGGAAGGCCCAGACAGCCAGGAUGUUGGCUUAGAAGCAGCCAUCAUUUAAAGAAAGCGUAAUAGCUCACUGGUCGAGUCGGCCUGCGCGGAAGAUGUAACGGGGCUAAACCAUGCACCGAAGCUGCGGCAGCGACACUGUGUGUUGUUGGGUAGGGGAGCGUUCUGUAAGCCUGUGAAGGUGUGUCGUGAGG
RNAcentral lists this ribosomal RNA (560 nucleotides) under Salmonella enterica. RNAcentral describes it as "partial 23S ribosomal RNA". It matches the Rfam family "Bacterial large subunit ribosomal RNA", at positions 711 to 1268 of the family's 2925-position model. Lineage: Bacteria; Pseudomonadati; Pseudomonadota; Gammaproteobacteria; Enterobacterales; Enterobacteriaceae. The record is from RNAcentral. RNAcentral also lists the same sequence under 4 other names.